UUUUAGUUAGUAUAAGUAGUACACUUACCUUCCAAGUAAAAAGUCUGGCAUUUAGACUCUAAC
Molecule: transfer RNA, 63 nt
Filed under: Leucophytia bidentata (two-toothed white snail)
Lineage: Eukaryota; Metazoa; Mollusca; Gastropoda; Ellobiida; Ellobiidae
Description: Auriculinella bidentata (two-toothed white snail) tRNA-Gly
Source: RNAcentral